This 500-nucleotide ribosomal RNA is filed under the name uncultured microorganism. RNAcentral describes it as "bacterial SSU rRNA". It matches the Rfam family "Archaeal small subunit ribosomal RNA", at positions 234 to 734 of the family's 1478-position model. The record is from RNAcentral.
AGUGGGUGUAACGUACCUACUAGCCUACGACGGGUACGGGUUGUGAGAGCAAGAGCCCGGAGAUGGAUUCUGAGACAUGAAUCCAGGCCCUACGGGGUGCAGCAGGCGCGAAAACUUUACAAUGCGGGCAACCGCGAUAAGGGGACCUCGAGUGCUGGGUUACAAACCUGGCUGUUGGGCUGCCUAAAAAGCAGUCUAUAGCAAGGGCCGGGCAAGACCGGUGCCAGCCGCCGCGGUAACACCGGCGGCUCGAGUGGUAACCGCUAUUAUUGGGUCUAAAGGGUCUGUAGCCGGCUGACUAAGUCUCUUGGGAAAUCUGGCAUCUCAAGUGUCAGGCUGCCAGGAGAUACUGGUCGGCUUGGGACCGGGAGAGGUGAGAGGUACCUCGGGGGUAGGGGUGAAAUCUUGUAAUCCUCGAGGGACCACCAGUGGCGAAGGCGUCUCACCAGAACGGAUCCGACGGCAAGGGACGAAAGCUAGGGGCACGAACCGGAUUAGAU